CCAGAUUUUCUCCUCUUCCUUCCCUCUUUACAUUUCUCCAACCAAAAUCAUGAAAUUUAGCCAUUUAAUCCUCCAAAAACCCUAGAACCCGAAGCUAAAAUUGGGGCUUUUGUGAUUUCUUCUUUCCAAGCUCAAAUCAAGGCUAUGGGUUUGACAAGGAUUUGUGGUAAGGAUCUAUCCAUGCAACCUUGUUUCGCAAUUUUUGGUUGUGGUAUUGAUGAUGGACGGAUUUGUAGGUGAAGAAGGCCAUGGAGGAAGCUUAGGCCGUGAGUUUUGAAGAAGAAAGGGUAAGGAAUGGGUUUUGGACAAACCCUAGAAUUUUUGGAAUUUAUUUGGUUGAUUUUGAUUUUGUUGAGAUAUUGUUGUUGUUGGAAAAAUUGUGAAAAAUAGAGUUUUGAAGAGAGUUUAAUUAGUAGGAUUUUAUUGAUCUAAUUUUCAAAGGAUUGGAAAUUGGUGUUGAA
This is a long non-coding RNA of Rosa rugosa (rugosa rose), 461 nucleotides long. RefSeq lists it as uncharacterized. The record is from RefSeq and is a predicted model, not a curated record. NCBI's taxonomy places the organism in Eukaryota, Viridiplantae, Streptophyta, Magnoliopsida, Rosales, Rosaceae. The transcript is spliced from 2 exons.